RNAcentral lists this ribosomal RNA (450 nucleotides) under uncultured bacterium. Its description in RNAcentral is "partial 16S ribosomal RNA". It matches the Rfam family "Bacterial small subunit ribosomal RNA", at positions 354 to 796 of the family's 1533-position model. The record is from RNAcentral.
GUGGGGAAUAUUCCGCAAUGGACGAAAGUCUGACGGAGCAACGCCGCGUGAGUGAUGAAGGUUUUCGGACUGUAAAGCUCUGUUGUUUAGGACGAAAGUGCCUGUUGCAAAUAGUUACAGGUAUUGACGGUACUGAACGAGGAAGCCACGGCUAACUACGUGCCAGCAGCCGCGGUAAUACGUAGGUGGCAAGCGUUGUCCGGAAUUAUUGGGCGUAAAGAGCAUGUAGGCGGGAAUCUAAGUCUGUUGUGAAAAUGCGGGGCUCAACCCCGUAUUGCGAUGGAAACUGGGUUUCUUGAGUGCAGGAGAGGAAAGGGGAAUUCCCAGUGUAGCGGUGAAAUGCGUAGAUAUUGGGAGGAACACCAGUGGCGAAGGCGCCUUUCUGGACUGUGUCUGACGCUGAGAUGCGAAAGCCAGGGUAGCGAACGGGAUUAGAUACUCCUGUAGUCC